AAAUAAUCUUCCGAUUCUAAUAAUUUUUGGUCCAUUUCAUGCACUCUAUCCAAUCAAAAUGGGAAUUGCUUUGAAAGAUUCAGGUUUGAAGCCCCAUGGCAACCAAAAACAAAAAAAAAAUAAAAACCCUUAAAUUCGCAUGGUUGCCUUGAUGGCUCUUUCCAUUUUGAGUACCUAAAUCAAGAAGGCAUAACAGCAGUGUUUUCUGCUACAUAAACAAAUAAACUUUCAAGGGAAAAAAAUAAAGAAAGAUAUAUAUAUAU
Molecule: unclassified non-coding RNA, 263 nt
Filed under: Hevea brasiliensis (rubber tree)
Lineage: Eukaryota; Viridiplantae; Streptophyta; Magnoliopsida; Malpighiales; Euphorbiaceae
Source: RNAcentral